AGAGUUGGUCGGACAGUCGCUGUGCAAUCGCAUAGAGGAAAGUCCGGGCUCCGCAGGGCAAGGUGCCAGGUAACGCCUGGAGGGUGUGAGCCCAUGGCAAGUGCCACAGAAAAAAUACCGCCUCACUUAGAGGUAAGGGUGAAAAGGCGUGGUAAGAGCACACCGCAUCAAUGGUAACAUUGGUGGCAUGGUAAACCCCACCUGGAGCAAGGUUAAAUAGGAGAGCAUUGAGCAUUGCCCGUGCUAGUCUCUCGGGUAAACCGCAAGAGGUAUAUGGCAACAUAUAUCCCAGAUGGAUGACUGUCUAAACAGAACCCGGCUUAUAGACCAACUCACCCC
Molecule: RNase P RNA, 339 nt
Filed under: Chromatiales bacterium
Lineage: Bacteria; Pseudomonadati; Pseudomonadota; Gammaproteobacteria; Chromatiales
Description: RNase P RNA component class A
Rfam family: Bacterial RNase P class A
About the family: Ribonuclease P (RNase P) is a ubiquitous endoribonuclease, found in archaea, bacteria and eukarya as well as chloroplasts and mitochondria. Its best characterised activity is the generation of mature 5'-ends of tRNAs by cleaving the 5'-leader elements of precursor-tRNAs.
Source: RNAcentral